Molecule: ribosomal RNA, 635 nt
Filed under: uncultured bacterium
Lineage: Bacteria
Description: bacterial SSU rRNA
Rfam family: Bacterial small subunit ribosomal RNA (bases 1-536)
Source: RNAcentral
CCUACGGGAGGCAGCAGUAAGGAAUAUUGGUCAAUGGACGCAAGUCUGAACCAGCCAUGCCGCGUGAAGGAUUAAGGCCCUCUGGGUUGUAAACUUCUUUUAUAGGGGACGAAAAAAGGGCAUUCUUGCUCACUUGACGGUACCCUAGGAAUAAGCACCGGCUAACUCCGUGCCAGCAGCCGCGGUAAUACGGAGGGUGCAAGCGUUAUCCGGAUUUACUGGGUUUAAAGGGUGCGUAGGUGGGUUGGUAAGUCAGUGGUGAAAUCUUCGAGCUUAACUCGGAAACUGCCAUUGAUACUAUCAAUCUUGAAUCAUCUAGAGGUAAGCGGAAUAUGUCAUGUAGCGGUGAAAUGCUUAGAUAUGACAUAGAACACCAAUUGCGAAGGCAGCUUACUAUGGAUGUAUUGACACUGAGGCACGAAAGCGUGGGGAUCAAACAGGAUUAGAUACCCUGGUAGUCCACGCCCUAAACGAUGGAUACUCGACAUUUGUGAUAUACUAUAAGGUGUNUGAGAGAAGACGAUAAGUAUACCACCGUACGGAAGGUAACGUACCGACGUUAGGUUAGUAACGUUACGAAAUAGAAGUUAGACGGCGUUGAGACGUUGCGACGGACGACGACGAGGGAGGAGGAG